CGGUAAUAGUAGCACUAACUACCCCAAGUUUUAUUGAUCAAGGGCUUCAGUUACACACAGCACAAAUGUCUCUAGACAUAAUUAUCAUUUAGAGUAUGCUACAAUUUUUCCAGUGACAACAUUUAAACUCAACCUUUAUAAUGUUGGACAGCUUGAUUGUACAUUGGUUUUUUAUUUAAUUUAUUUUUUUGUGCUAUGUUGUAAUUAUUUAACAACCGUUAGUGUUUUAAAGUCUAUUUACUAAUCAGCAAACCUCGUAUCAAUGAUGGCACACAAACGAGUAUUGUAUGUGUUUAAACUGUGAAUUUUUAUUAGUUAUUCCAUGUUAGUCUUUUUUUCCCUCCUUUUCAAACUACUACUGCCCUCAUUUGUUUCAGUUCUUGCUAAUGACUCAGACAACAUAACAAACCAGUAUGGACCUCUUAUGGCAGCUACAUCAAUACUUAAUGUGUGUGCAUGUGUGUCUGUUGACACUGUUGCUGCUCUCUUUAUGUAAAGCAGCUUGCUUACCAUAAAAGGUUUGUCCUUAAACAACAGUGACAUUUAAAUUUUCUGACUGUAAUUGUCUGUUAAAAUGUGACAAGCAACAUUUUUGCACAAAUCCUCAAAGUACAAUUUAUACAGAGAACAUGCUCAUGUUAUUCACGUCCUAUUCUUACUAGUUUUGCACUUUAUAUCUACAAAUGCAUAUUAUGAAGGCUGUUGUAGGUUUAAAAAAUGGAUGUUGAAUUGGUGAAUGAGGAUUAUUUUUAGUGUUAAAGUCAGAAAUGCACAAGAAUCAACUCUAAAAAAAUCUUAUUUGUCAAGGAACUACUUCACUUUGCAUUUGUAGCAGGGUGAACGAGCAUCUGUCAGUCUGUUCCCGAUCCAGUUAUCACCUCAUUCGCACACGUGUUCUUCUAAAUAACCAUGGCUAGAUGUCAUUGUCACUGUAGGCUAAAAUCAUGUAUCAAGUAUUAAGGUUAUUAUUUAAUUGAGACUUAUACUGCAGGCAGAUGGUCCAAGGUUCAUCGAGCCAUGCAAAGUGAAGUGUUAUGGUUCCUUACCCCUUUUUCCUGAGGGUUUUCUUGCUUGUAUAUAUCCAAUUUUAACCUCAGUAAAUUCCUCAGUCUUUCUAAGAUUUCUCAGCAAAUGUGUGAGUGUAUAAUCUCAGAUUAUACCAGGUUUUUUUGUGUGUGUGUGUGCAAAGAGACAAACUUCCUGUUUUUGUUUUGUUUUGUUUUUUCCAGGAACUGGCCGUGUGAUGGUGAGAAGCCUCCUCAUUUUUUUUUCUUUUCUUUUUAAAUUUUUAUUAUUUUUUUUUAAACUAUCAACUGUCUGCCUUAGUGUGUCUUUGUCUUGUUCUUACCUGUACCAGUAACAGCACAUUACAUCAUUAAAGUGCAAUAUACAGGAAAUUGCUGUAGUCAAAGGGGAAUGUACACAUGUGUAGCUUUAUGUGCAUUCUUUAUUAAAGGUGAAUCAUGCUUUAAAA
This is a long non-coding RNA of Astatotilapia calliptera (eastern happy), 1474 nucleotides long. Lineage: Eukaryota; Metazoa; Chordata; Actinopteri; Cichliformes; Cichlidae. The record is from Ensembl.